UGUUGGAUGGUGCAAUGGGAGCAUGCCAGAUUCUGAUUCUGGUGACGUUGGUUCGAAUCCAACUCCAAUAUCAA
RNAcentral lists this transfer RNA (74 nucleotides) under Chitinophagaceae bacterium. Its description in RNAcentral is "tRNA-Gln". It matches the Rfam family "tRNA". From Rfam's summary of the family: Transfer RNA (tRNA) molecules are approximately 80 nucleotides in length. Their secondary structure includes four short double-helical elements and three loops (D, anti-codon, and T loops). The record is from RNAcentral. Lineage: Bacteria; Pseudomonadati; Bacteroidota; Chitinophagia; Chitinophagales; Chitinophagaceae.